ACUGAAUACAUAGGUAUGCAAAGCGAACGCGGCGAACUGAAACAUCUAAGUAGCUGCAGGAAAAGAAAUCAACCGAGAUUCCCAAAGUAGUGGCGAGCGAAAUGGGAAGAGCCUGCACGUUUUAGCAUGACGCAUAACAGAAUCCUCUGGAAAUAGGAGCCAUAGCGGGUGAUAGCCCCGUAUGUGAAAUGCGAUGUGUGGAACUAAGCGUGCGACAAGUAGGGCGGGACACGAGAAAUCCUGUCUGAAUAUGGGGGGACCAUCCUCCAAGGCUAAAUACUCGUAAUCGACCGAUAGUGAACCAGUACCGUG
This 312-nucleotide ribosomal RNA is filed under the name Rugamonas rivuli. RNAcentral's name for it is "Bacterial large subunit ribosomal RNA". It matches the Rfam family "Bacterial large subunit ribosomal RNA", at positions 157 to 505 of the family's 2925-position model. The record is from Rfam by way of RNAcentral. Lineage: Bacteria; Pseudomonadati; Pseudomonadota; Betaproteobacteria; Burkholderiales; Oxalobacteraceae.